UAAAUUAAAUAAUAGACCGUUGAAAAUUAAUCUUAGUGCCGUUGAAACAAUAUUUGUGCGAAAUAUACGGUGAAAUAACACAGAAUCGAAAACGAGAAAACUGUAAAUGGAUAUAGUUCAUGGAAAAUGCGCGUAGGUGUGCAUGAGGGAGGAGGGAUGUGUUCGCCAGGCAAGUGUAGGCUGACUCCGAGGGGAUAAACGAAACUGGGUCACCCCUGGGAACCGGAGAGAGCCUGGCUCACAUCCGGGUAGAGAAGAGAGCCUGCGAGUGUUGGCGGCAACUCGGUACAACACCCACAGUAAUAUCGAGAGUGGAUCACGUCACGACGACAGGAUGUGUGUGCCUGCGCGUUACCAAUGUUGCCGGGGUAUCAGCUAUAUUCAUUCCGGGGUCUCGAGCUACCCCGAUCAAUAAUUCGUUUCCCAGCUGUCACGCCCCUCGCAGACGAAGGAACAAACGCAAUAUUAACUAAAGUUAAAUUAUAUAAUUAUAGUACAAGUAUUGUAUUAUUUAAUCUCGUCCAAAUCGAAGUAACUACGUCGAAAUAUUUUCACAAUAGCUGCAAAUGUUUGAAUCUCUUUGGUACAGGAUGAUAGAAGAUAUUUACUCUUGUAAAACAUCUUGUGUAGCAUGAUGGACGAUGUUUACUUUUUUACGCUCAUUUUCAUUCGUUUCUAUCAUCAUGAAAAUACGAUUAAAUUAAACCGAUUCACAUUACAGAAUUAACGUCAUUACUUUUUCAAUUCUAUUUAAUAUAUAAACAUAUCUCGCAACUGCAAAUCAACAGAUACGCCAUCUCUUGAAAAAGCAUCAAGACUUUUGUAUCCAUCUUCA
RNAcentral lists this unclassified non-coding RNA (835 nucleotides) under Acromyrmex echinatior (Panamanian leafcutter ant). RNAcentral's name for it is "uncharacterized LOC105143873, transcript variant X2". Lineage: Eukaryota; Metazoa; Arthropoda; Insecta; Hymenoptera; Formicidae. The record is from RNAcentral.